CGGCUUUUGUCUCGCUCUAGAAGUGACGCGUGUGCGCGCUCGCAGCCCUGAAGGCGCUACUUUCCAUACAAAGUGAAUAGGCCUAUAUUAUAAUUACAAAGUGAACAUAUUAUAAUUGUAGAAUUUAUUUCUUUUUACGCAAGGUUAACAGGAAAGACAUAACUCUGAAAUGAAAGAGCUUCUCUCAAUCCGAUCGGAUAUGCUCUAUUAUCCCAAGUGACGUCACACAGACUAACGGCAUUUAACGGUGGCGAUAUCGCUAGUGAGUCGCCAAAGAUGCUGGAAGAGAAGAAGCAUGUAUGCACGAGAGACGUUGUGGGACCAUUUGAUGUUUUUGACGUGCAAGUGGUUGGAGAGUUCUUUUGAUUUUGGACUUGGAAGCCUCCACAGACAGUGGGGAAUUUGACAUUUCCCCCAGCCGUUUGACCACUUGAUAUGUCAUCAGCUCUUUACAGUAGCUGUUGUGGUCCACUGCAAGAGUAGGGCAGAGCAGAAGACCCAAGGCAACACUGAACGCCAUGAAAUGUUCGUACAACUGGUCCGGCAGAAUUCCCUUCAGCACCACUGUAUACAGGUUCCUUGGUUUUUGGGCAAAACAGCUUGGAAUGACCUCCUUCCCUUGGAGUGACAGCAGCCAUUGGGUCACUUCAUUUAUUUGCCCAGCAGACAUUCUCACCUUUCUGUCUCCUCUAACCCACUCUGUGAUGAGCUUUUUCAUUAUACCCAGGCAGGCUUGGUGCAUGGAGUCGAUUGAAAAUUGCUCUACCAUGUCCAGUGGGAGGUUCAAAAAUGGAGACAUUGGAAUGUCUUCAUUCUCCUGACGUCUUGUCAUUUCAGCACGGUUUGCUGGUUUGGUGGGACCAAUUGGCAGUGUUACUGGGAAGACAUUGAUGGGUGACAGGUGAAUGGCACAGCGGAUGGGCCAUGACGUCUUAUCAUGUGUCAUUGGUGCAUAGAAUGAGGUUGUUCACCUCUGGGUGUUCAUCUGUUUCCUUAUUUGGCUGGUUUGGAAGGAUUACAGAAAAGACACAGAUGGUUGAAUGGUCAAUGACACAAAACAGGCAGAAGAAAUACAACACAAGUACAAGGGUUAAGUUAAACAUGAACUUUUCGUAGUGUCCAUGGAAAUGUGCAAAACCAAUCUGACUGGCUUCUAGUUAAUCCUGCCUGACUGUGUAGUGUCAUUUUAACAUAAAGCUUCCAGAGCCCUCCAAGUGUCAGUCUCCAGCGUUGCAGGCUCAUGGACAUGUGCUACAAAAAUUCUUGGCGAAACUCUCUGCAAAAAAAAUAAACCUAUAUAUAAUUUACUCAUUACUACAUGUGACAAUAGUGUUUAUAGCACCUUAAAUUGUAAUUUACUUUCCCUAAUGUUGCUCCAGUCAUGUAUGACUUUUUGUUUCAUGGAACAACACCUAGUUGUGAGCUGUCGACAAAGCCCUUAAGACCACAGUAGAAGUUGUAACAAUUUAAAACAUUAACCCCCCCCCAGCAUGAAAUCAGCAUUACAAUGUUUCCAAUAUGCUUCAAAUGUAUUAUCUCCCUUUAAUAGUGCUGCAGCUGCUCACCAAGGCUCUCUCAAUUUAAAAUGGACACACUAUCCCUGACAUCGCUGCCUAUCACUGUUUUAUUGUGUAUGGGGAUGUUCUUUAUGUUGAUUUUGAGUGAUGUUGAUUAUUUUGUUGCUUACUGUUGUGUACAUGAAGCUGAAACCAUUCUUUACACUCUUGCCCCCCCCCCCCCUCCUCACCCUCACCCUUUUUUUGGUCCUGCUUUAAAACUAUUUCCCCAGUUAUAUCUUUUUAAUGCUGUAACAAGACCUUGUUCUGUUGUUCCAUUUGUUCCUGUUUUAAUAAAACAUUUUAAAAAUGAA
This is a long non-coding RNA of Megalobrama amblycephala (Wuchang bream), 1870 nucleotides long. RefSeq lists it as uncharacterized. The record is from RefSeq and is a predicted model, not a curated record. The transcript has 6 exons. NCBI's taxonomy places the organism in Eukaryota, Metazoa, Chordata, Actinopteri, Cypriniformes, Xenocyprididae.